RNAcentral lists this ribosomal RNA (448 nucleotides) under uncultured bacterium. RNAcentral describes it as "partial 16S ribosomal RNA". It matches the Rfam family "Bacterial small subunit ribosomal RNA", at positions 329 to 792 of the family's 1533-position model. The record is from RNAcentral.
UGCCAGACUCCUACGGGAGGCAGCAGUGGGGAAUAUUGGGCAAUGGGCGCAAGCCUGACCCAGCAACGCCGCGUGAAGGAAGAAGGCUUUCGGGUUGUAAACUUCUUUUAAGAGGGAAGAGAAGAAGACGGUACCUCUUGAAUAAGCCACGGCUAACUACGUGCCAGCAGCCGCGGUAAUACGUAGGUGGCAAGCGUUGUCCGGAUUUACUGGGUGUAAAGGGCGUGCAGCCGGGCUGACAAGUCAGAUGUGAAAUCCCGCGGCUCAACCGCGGAACUGCAUUUGAAACUGUCAGUCUUGAGUACCGGAGAGGUCAUCGGAAUUCCUUGUGUAGCGGUGAAAUGCGUAGAUAUUAGGAGGAACACCAGUGGCGAAGGCGGCCUGCUGGACGACAACUGACGGUGAGGCGCGAAAGCGUGGGGAGCAAACAGGAUUAGAUACCCUUGUA